AUCCCACCACUGCCACCAU
Molecule: microRNA, 19 nt
Filed under: Pan troglodytes (chimpanzee)
Lineage: Eukaryota; Metazoa; Chordata; Mammalia; Primates; Hominidae
Also listed under: 1 other name
Description: ptr-miR-1260b
Source: miRBase by way of RNAcentral